RNAcentral lists this ribosomal RNA (499 nucleotides) under Salmonella enterica subsp. enterica serovar Enteritidis. Its description in RNAcentral is "partial 23S ribosomal RNA". It matches the Rfam family "Bacterial large subunit ribosomal RNA", at positions 123 to 666 of the family's 2925-position model. The record is from RNAcentral. Lineage: Bacteria; Pseudomonadati; Pseudomonadota; Gammaproteobacteria; Enterobacterales; Enterobacteriaceae.
GAAACCCAGUGUGAUUCGUCACACUAUCAUUAACUGAAUCCAUAGGUUAAUGAGGCGAACCGGGGGAACUGAAACAUCUAAGUACCCCGAGGAAAAGAAAUCAACCGAGAUUCCCCCAGUAGCGGCGAGCGAACGGGGAGGAGCCCAGAGCCUGAAUCAGCAUGUGUGUUAGUGGAAGCGUCUGGAAAGGCGCGCGAUACAGGGUGACAGCCCCGUACACAAAAGCGCAUGUGCUGUGAGCUCGAUGAGUAGGGCGGGACACGUGGUAUCCUGUCUGAAUAUGGGGGGACCAUCCUCCAAGGCUAAAUACUCCUGACUGACCGAUAGUGAACCAGUACCGUGAGGGAAAGGCGAAAAGAACCCCGGCGAGGGGAGUGAAAAAGAACCUGAAACCGUGUACGUACAAGCAGUGGGAGCACCCUUUGGGUGUGACUGCGUACCUUUUGUAUAAUGGGUCAGCGACUUAUAUUCUGUAGCAAGGUUAACCGAAUAGGGGAGC